This 724-nucleotide long non-coding RNA is filed under the name Rattus norvegicus (Norway rat). Its description in RNAcentral is "long non-coding RNA NONRATT003340". The record is from RNAcentral. Lineage: Eukaryota; Metazoa; Chordata; Mammalia; Rodentia; Muridae.
GUGCCUGAUGUGCCCCAGUCAGUGAAGAAUGAGGUUCUGGAGGAGAAGUAUCAGAGGAUUCGUGGAAGGAUGUGCUUCAGUUCCAGGAGCACGGAUGUAUAGACAACCCGGGGCAGGUGGAGAAAUGCCGCUUUCCAGGAGCCUGGACUAAGAAGAAGUCCCCACCUCUACAGUUUGCCUCUGUCCAUAGCAAUGCAUACGCAUGUUUUGAGGGAGGCUGUAAAAUGGUCCGUGUAUAUGUAGGGUCCUGGAUGGUCUACAUAAAUGUUCGUGAAUGAAGGCCAUAGGAGGGCCUUGAAUAUAUGUAGAUGUAUAUAGGCAUCCUAGGAAGCCCAUGUAUAUGUGUUAAUCACAGGAGACUCUUGUAUAUGUCGGGGGUCCCUGAAAUGCCAUGUAUAUUUAGGUUAUUUAUGAACAGCACAGAUGUGCCUGUGGGGUUUGCUUCAACUUUUCUGGGGUUCAGAUUGGUACAGACCUGACUUGAAGCUCCUGAGUGACCCUAGUACCCAUAGAAUUGCUGGCUGCUCAUAAAACCCUCGUGCAGUGAAAUUAGCCCAAGUUCCAUGGACCUCCUGGCUCUUGGGCCUCAGAUCUUGCCUGCUCUGUGGCCUCUUGCUUGGUAGAAGGUAGAGACUAACUUCCGGCCCCUCCCUCCCCCACAUUAACCUGGAUCCCCACAGCCGGCAAAACUUUUUACAAACAAAGUAAACCUGUGUGUAUUGAU